UUGCUUGGGCAGUACAUACACUAAAAUGAGAACAACAGAGAGGCAAUUAGCAUGGCCCCGAGCAAGAAUGAUGUGCAAAUUCAUGAGAUAUUCUAUAUUUUU
RNAcentral lists this small nuclear RNA (102 nucleotides) under Aotus nancymaae (Ma's night monkey). Lineage: Eukaryota; Metazoa; Chordata; Mammalia; Primates; Aotidae. The record is from RNAcentral.